This 465-nucleotide long non-coding RNA is filed under the name Bos indicus x Bos taurus (hybrid cattle). RNAcentral describes it as "lncRNA (ENSBIXG00005027319.1)". Lineage: Eukaryota; Metazoa; Chordata; Mammalia; Artiodactyla; Bovidae. The record is from RNAcentral.
AUCUGCACAUUGAUUUUCAGACUUUCAUAUUUGUAAUGUUGCCUCUAUAGUCCUCCAUCCACGACCAGAGGGUGCCAAGCAGAAGCCCACAUGGUGAUAUAAGGAAGACUCAAGGUGUGAAGAAGAUAAUUCUAUCCAACACUGUUCCAACUGAGAUUUAUGUAGUCUGCAGUAUUCAAAUAAAAUGAGUUCCUACAAAGAAGACUUCUUUGAAGCUCCUGAGGCAUAAGUUUGGAGAGACAUGUCAAGGGCCCAAAUACUUCAAGGAAGAGAGAAGUGGACAAAAGAGAAAUUGUUGUUAUUUCUUAAUAAAAAUGCUACAUAAAAGAGAAAGAGAAUGAGUGACCGAAGAGCCACACACUUUUGGACAUGAUCACAGGGCUGGAAUAGUGCCUGAAAGGUAUGUUGUAAAUUUUAUAUUCUUCUGUUGGGUAAUGGGAUUAAGAACUGGUGUCACCUCUGAUA